This 154-nucleotide long non-coding RNA is filed under the name Ictidomys tridecemlineatus (thirteen-lined ground squirrel). RNAcentral's name for it is "lncRNA (ENSSTOG00000029670.1)". Lineage: Eukaryota; Metazoa; Chordata; Mammalia; Rodentia; Sciuridae. The record is from RNAcentral.
GACAUGAUCAGAGAUGCCAUAUUCUGACUUUUCCCUGGACUCCAAUCAUGGAAACUACAGUUACAGCUCAGCCUGUUUUGCUUAUGGAACUGUGCCAGAAGCAGUUUUGAAGGUGUUUUAAAAAUGAAGACAUCUGGCAGCUGGCAUACUUACA